UACGUAGGGGGCAAGCGUUGUCCGGAUUUAUUGGGCGUAAAGAGCGUGUAGGCGGCCAGGUAGGUCUGGUGUGAAAACUCGAGGCUUAACCUCGAGAUGUCAUCGGAAACCAUCUGGCUAGAGUCCGGAAGAGGAGAGUGGAAUUCCUGGUGUAGCGGUGAAGUGCGCAGAUAUCAGGAAGAACACCAAUGGCGAAAGCAGCUCUCUGGGACGGUACUGACGCUGAGACGCGAAAGCGUGGGGAGCGAACAGG
RNAcentral lists this ribosomal RNA (253 nucleotides) under uncultured bacterium. Its description in RNAcentral is "partial 16S ribosomal RNA". It matches the Rfam family "Bacterial small subunit ribosomal RNA", at positions 524 to 776 of the family's 1533-position model. The record is from RNAcentral.